RNAcentral lists this ribosomal RNA (443 nucleotides) under uncultured bacterium. RNAcentral's name for it is "partial 16S ribosomal RNA". It matches the Rfam family "Bacterial small subunit ribosomal RNA", at positions 338 to 795 of the family's 1533-position model. The record is from RNAcentral.
CCUACGGGGGGCAGCAGUGGGGAAUAUUGGGCAAUGGGCGCAAGCCUGACCCAGCAACGCCGCGUGAAGGAAGACGGCUCUCGGGUUGUCAACUUCUUUUAUUCGGGACGAAACAAAUGACGGUACCGAAUGAAUAAGACACGGCUAACUAAGUGCCAGCAGCCGCGGUAAUACGUAGGUGGCAAGCGUUAUCCGGAUUUAAUGGGUGUAAAGGGCGUGUAGGCGGGAGAGCAAGUCAGACGUGAAAGUCCAGGGCUCAACCCUGGACCUGCGUUUGAAACUGGUCUUCUUGAGUGAUGUAGAGGCAGGUGGAAUGCCGUGUGUAGCGGUGAAAUGCGUAGAUAUACGGAGGAACACCAGUGGCGAAGGCGGCCUGCUGGACAUUAACUGACGCUGAGGCGCGAAAGCGUGGGGAGCAAACAGGAUUAGAUACCCGGGUAGUC